UACGUAGGGAGCAAGCGUUGUCCGGAAUCAUUGGGCGUAAAGCGCGCGUAGGCGGCUCGAUCAGUCUGUUGUGAAAGUCAAAGGCUCAACCUUUGAAUGCCGAUGGAUACUGUCGAGCUAGAGUCCGGAAGAGGCGAGUGGAAUUCCUGGUGUAGCGGUGGAAUGCGCAGAUAUCAGGAGGAACACCAGUGGCGAAGGCGGUGCUCUGGGCCGGAACUGACGCUGAGGAGCGAAAGCGUGGGGAGCAAACAGG
RNAcentral lists this ribosomal RNA (253 nucleotides) under uncultured bacterium. RNAcentral describes it as "partial 16S ribosomal RNA". It matches the Rfam family "Bacterial small subunit ribosomal RNA", at positions 524 to 776 of the family's 1533-position model. The record is from RNAcentral.